UAACCUUUGGAAUGUAGUCCUAAUGGUUCCUGGCAUUUGGGGAAGGAAUCAAUUUUAAGUUUUCAUGGGUAUUUUUGUGAUUUUCUAAACGUGGUUUUGGUUGUCCUGUCAUGAGUUUAAUUUUUGAGUAAACCCUCAGCAUCGUGAGGGUUUUACCGUCCAGUUACAUGGCGAGUUAUAUGUCGUGAUUGGUGGUUUGAGGUACGAGAGCCUG
Long non-coding RNA from Sitophilus oryzae (rice weevil), 214 nucleotides. RefSeq lists it as uncharacterized. The transcript has 3 exons. The record is from RefSeq and is a predicted model, not a curated record. NCBI's taxonomy places the organism in Eukaryota, Metazoa, Arthropoda, Insecta, Coleoptera, Curculionidae.